AGUGAACGCUGGCGGUAGGCCUAACACAUGCAAGUCGAACGGCAGCACAGUAAGAGCUUGCUCUUACGGGUGGCGAGUGGCGGACGGGUGAGGAAUACAUCGGAAUCUACUUUUUCGUGGGGGAUAACGUAGGGAAACUUACGCUAAUACCGCAUACGACCUACGGGUGAAAGCAGGGGAUCUUCGGACCUUGCGCGAUUGAAUGAGCCGAUGUCGGAUUAGCUAGUUGGCGGGGUAAAGGCCCACCAAGGCGACGAUCCGUAGCUGGUCUGAGAGGAUGAUCAGCCACACUGGAACUGAGACACGGUCCAGACUCCUACGGGAGGCAGCAGUGGGGAAUAUUGGACAAUGGGCGCAAGCCUUAUCCAGCCAUACCGCGUGUGUGAAGAAGGCCUUCGGGUUGUAAAGCCCUUUUUUUGGGAAAGAAAAUCAGCAGGUUAAUACCCCGCUGUUCUGACGGUACCCAAAGAAUAAGCACCGGCUAACUUCGUG
RNAcentral lists this ribosomal RNA (492 nucleotides) under uncultured bacterium. RNAcentral's name for it is "partial 16S ribosomal RNA". It matches the Rfam family "Bacterial small subunit ribosomal RNA", at positions 29 to 507 of the family's 1533-position model. The record is from RNAcentral.